This is a long non-coding RNA of Leopardus geoffroyi (Geoffroy's cat), 686 nucleotides long. RefSeq lists it as uncharacterized. NCBI's taxonomy places the organism in Eukaryota, Metazoa, Chordata, Mammalia, Carnivora, Felidae. The transcript is spliced from 3 exons. The record is from RefSeq and is a predicted model, not a curated record.
UCACAAUGAGCUUUGUCAACAUAAAAGUGGGGAUGUAACUGAUAUUUAAUAGCUCAAAGCUUUAUGCUAAGCAUAUAAUAAAUAAAAACUUUCAUUUGUCCUUUAUAUUUCCCCUGCUGGAGAACAAACUACAGUUUGUAUCCAUCAAAUAAGAAUGAAAUUCAACACCUUACCUUUCAAUAUUUAUUCAUGGAUUCCACUCUCCCCUCAAUAAUACAGACUCCAGAGAUUUAGAGAAAGAGAAAGAGGGAAGACAAACGAAAACACGUCUACUAAACAAAUAUGGCUUUGUUCCAGCAUAGCGCAAGUAUAACUUUACCUACAAAAUGAUUUUAAAAUGCACUUGACAAGAGGGUUUAUUAUGUCAUUAAUGUGCUUCCAGGCCUGUUUUAUUUUUGCAGUUGGCAAUUGCCAUAGCAACUUUAGAAGUUCAGAACUUCCUGGUGCUUCCUUUCUGUACAGAGAGUUCUUUCUUGUAUGUACUGAGUAAUGAAUGGCAAAGUGAAGAAAGGAUGAAAUGAAUACAUAAGGGAAUGAAAGAACGACCAAAACAGCAAUAUUCACCUUAUCUGGUUCCUCUGCUGGCACUAGUAAACUACUCAUAAUGUUCUAACGCAUGGUUUCCUAAGGAAAAACUCUAUAAAAGCCUCUAUCACCAGGUGGUGUAAAAUAAAUUUUGAAAUGAU